Molecule: ribosomal RNA, 258 nt
Filed under: uncultured bacterium
Lineage: Bacteria
Description: partial 16S ribosomal RNA
Rfam family: Bacterial small subunit ribosomal RNA
Source: RNAcentral
CGGCGGACGGGUGAGUAACGCGUGGACAACCUGCCCUAUGCAGGGGGAUAACAUCCGGAAACGGGUGCUAAUACCGCAUAAGCGCACAGUACCGCAUGGUACGGUGUGGAAAGCUGAGGCGGCAUAGGAUGGGUCCGCGUUGGAUUAGGCAGUUGGCGGGGUAACGGCCCACCAAACCGACGAUCCAUAGCCGGCCUGAGAGGGUGGACGGCCACAUUGGGACUGAGACACGGCCCAGACUCCUACGGAAGGCAGCAG